ACUUGCUCUGAGACAGGUGCGGCAAGUCUACUGCGGGCUGGUCCGGGCUCCUCAGGUUCAGACCCGACCGUUAUCCAGUCGGUUCGUGGAGAGGAGAGUGUAUGUGGUAGAAGACCAAAGAAGAGAUGAGCUAGGACCAUCCACCUGCCUCACAGCCUGCUGGACGGCUCUCUGUUGCUGCUGUCUCUGGGACAUGCUCACCUGACCAGACCAGCCCAGCCGUCCUGUCCUGCCAGCUCUGCUGCCACCUCUGACAGCUGAUUGUGAAUUGCUUCCUUGGACUGAAGAAUAAACCUAUGAAACACAAGAAAGUUGAAAAUUAAGCCACAUGACUAUUGUAUUCAUCGAAAUCAAUAGCUACAUACUACAAAUAUUAAACUGAGCAAAUUAAAAGGACAAAUGCAUAUUAACAUAAUACGUCAAGCUCAGGAAACCACCAGAAGUUUAAACCUUCCUGGCUGAGAAGGAAUAAAGGCUUAAAUGUAGAUUCUGCUUUCUUAUUUAAUAUAGGAAUCAGGCAGGGAACAGUGGUGUGGGCCUACAGUCCCAGAUACUCAGGAGGCUGAGGUGGGAGGAUUGUUUGAGCCCAGGUGUCUGAGUCUAGUCUGGGCAACAUAGCAAGACCCUGUCUCAUUAAAAAAAAAAGCCGGGGGGGUUGCGGGAGUUGGGCACAGUGGCUCACACCUGUAAUCCCAGCACUCUGAGAGGCCAAGGCAGGAGGACUGCUUGAGCCUGGGAGUUCAAGACUAGCCCAGGCAACAUGACGAGACCCAUCUCUACAAAAAAUAAAUUUAAAAUAUUAGUCAGGCACAGU
Molecule: small RNA, 814 nt
Filed under: Pan troglodytes (chimpanzee)
Lineage: Eukaryota; Metazoa; Chordata; Mammalia; Primates; Hominidae
Description: processed transcript
Source: RNAcentral